RNAcentral lists this ribosomal RNA (2937 nucleotides) under Triticum aestivum (bread wheat). RNAcentral describes it as "partial small subunit ribosomal RNA". Lineage: Eukaryota; Viridiplantae; Streptophyta; Magnoliopsida; Poales; Poaceae. The record is from RNAcentral.
AUGGAGGGUGUUGUAGUACCUAUGGUGAGCUGUUCAAGAGGGUCGAUGAACUCUCUCCUCCACAAGCUCACCGAACUGAAUACUCGAAAUAUUCAGGGUUUGCCUCGAGCUCAUGUUGAACGCUUGCUGGAAGCUUUGAUGGGCCUCAGUGGGGAGUUCGUCGACAAAGUUGCCGGGCAACAGGAGGCAGAUGGGCGAGUCAAAGCGUGGAUGAAGCAAGUGAGACAGCUGGUCGUCGAUAUUGAAGACUGGGUCGAUCCAAAGCUUCGAAGAAGGAACAAGGACGAACCGGAUAAUGGAAGUUUAGAAGAACCGGAGAAUGAAAGUUUAGAAGAAGAAGAUAUCAUGACAAAUGAUGAAAUAUUGCAAGAUUUCACGACCCAGAUCGACGAGGCGUGUGAGCUAUGCACAAGGUACGAACUUGUCAAUAAAGAGCCUGCUGACCCUGUCUCGCCUGCUGAUGGCGUACCCAGCGACGAACCCCGCCGACUGCUUCUUCGGGAGACCCCUGUUGGCCUUGUUGGUGUCGAUGGUCCAACACAAGCAAUUGUGAAGAAGCUGACAGACAUGAACGCGAGCCUGAAGGUGGUAUCCAUGGUCGGAGCGGCAGGCCUUGGUAAGACUACUCUUGCCAAGAGGAUUUAUGAAGAACUUCAAGGGCAGUUCACCUGCCAGGUUUUCGUCUCUGUUGGCCAGAGAACACCGGUGAGUACCGCUCUAAUGGAUAUACUCCGUCAAGUAAAGCGGGUAGUCCCGCCAAAAAUAAAGGAAGAACAUAAGGCAAAGACGAAGGCGAAGGCGAAGGUGAAGACGAAGACGACAUCUCGUGGCAUCCAAGCCAUCAUCACUGAUCUCCGAGGAUGCCUUCGCACAGAAAGGUAUCUCAUCAUAAUCGAUGGCGUAUGGAGUACGUGGGACUGGAAAGUAAUCAAUUGUGCUUUACCAGAAAAUUACCUUAGAAGUAGGGUAUUAACAACAACUUGCAGCAUGAGUGUAGCCCAAUCCUGCUCUUUAAAUCCCAGUGAAAUCAUCCAGGUGAAGGCUCUUAGCAGAGUCAACUCUGAGAAAAUACUAAAGGGAAUGUUUGAUGUGAAUCCUCCUAGCGGAAUGGAGUCCAAGGAAAUAUUUGAUGGAGAGGCAGAUGACAUGUUGAAAAUCUGUGGUGGUGUGCCACUGGCAAUAAUUAUUGUAUCAGGCUUAUUAUCCUGGAAAUCAGCAAAACUGGCAGAGCCCAAGAUGCUUGGUAAAUCAGAUUGCAGGUCAGAAGCGAUGACAAAGAUAUUGUGCAUGAGUUAUGAUGACUUAUCGGUGCCACUGCAGUCUUGCUUCCUGUACUUGAGUGUUUUUCCCGAAGGUUAUAUCAUCAAGAAAGAUCGCUUGAUACGGCUAUGGCGUGCUGAAGGAUUUAUCCCUGGAAGUCUUGAAGAAAGCAUGUGGGCAACAGGGGAGAGAUACUUUAAAGAGCUGAUCAGUAGGAGGUUGAUUCAGCCGGUGUUGGGCUACGAAGAUGACCAUGCAGUGAGUUGUACCGUUCAUGAUGUGGUUCUUGAUUUCCUGGCAUGCUUGGCAAGCAAAGAGAAUUUUGUUACAGUGGGUGCAGAGCUAAAGCCCGUGCGACCAUUGGAAGUGGCUCUGCCAUGGUCGCUCAUGGAGAGAGCGGUUGCCGGGUUGACGCCCGAACCAUUUUUGUGUUACGAAACGGUUCGGCGAUUGUCGCUCCAGUGCUGUGUUGAAGGCAGAUCUGACAACUUGGUGUCAAGCAAUGUGCACCUAUGUAGAGUGCGAUCACUCCUAGCUUUUGGGGCCUCUAAUGGGUUACCUGAUCUUCGGGCCUUCAAACUUAUCAGAGUAUUGGAUCUGGAAGGUUCUAAGAGUACAUCAUAUUUUAUAAUUGGAAGUUUGUUCCUACUGAGAUACUUGGGACUUAAAGGGACUAGAAUCCGUAGCAAGGACAUAGAGAGAAUGGGAGAAUUCGAUCACCUGCAAACAUUGGAUAUAAGGCGAACCGGUGUGCAAGGGUUGCCUAUUCGUAUGGAUCGAAUGCCAAACCUAGUGUCUAUGCUUGGUGAUGGUCUGACAUUUGCUCCUGUCGACUUGGAGGAUCAUGCCAUAUGUUCCUAUGAUGAGCAUGUCCAAAACUUGGAGGAACUGUCCACCAUUGAUAUUACUGACGAAAGGUCGCGUGAUGAUGUGGCAACAUUGCUGUUUAGGUCGAAGAAGCUAAGGAUGCUUGGUGUGAGAGCUAAUAGAGGUGGCAAUACACAUGGUGUUAUACCUUUCCUUAAUGAGCUCCGAAAAUAUAACCUCGAGUCACUCAUCAUUGAAAGUGACCUGUGCGGUCUGGAUGAAUGGGAGCCAUGGCCUGAGCUCCGAAGAUUUGAACUGACAAAACUCCUCCCACGGGUUCCAGAGAGUUGGGCCUCACUGGACAGCCUCACCCACUUGGAUUUUGCAAUUCGUAAAAUCGAAGCAACGGAUGUUCUUGUCCUUGGUGAAUUGCCCAAGCUAACCGUUCUCAACUUGCUAUCAUGGGAGCGUGAAGGGAGUGGAAGCAUUGUCAGCAGCGUCGGAUUCCAGAGCCUUGAGGUGGCCUCGUUCAAGUGGCUCUUUGGCGGGAUGUGGCUGCACUUCCAAGAAGGAGCCAUGCCCAAGCUCCUCAAGCUUCGGCUCGAGUUCAACGCUGCAGAGACGAUGAUGGAGCAUGGCAUCGGCAAGUUCCCUUGUAACCUCACGCAAGUUGCUGUCAGCAUCAGCUGUCAAAACUCUACUCAAACGGACGUGCAGGAUGUGGAGCGUGCCAUCAGAGACCAAGUAGCUACCCACCCUAGAAGUGCCAAUCUCUCCUUGCAACUGACAAAAUAUGAGGGACCCGUCAAGAUGAAGCCGUCGGAUUAUCCACAAAGUCCGUCAGCGCUCGUGCCGUCUACAUUUUCCUAA